CCAAUGUCCCUCAGGCCGCGGUGACAACCUGUUUCCUGCCAUGGCAGCUUUGGAGCCUUACGUAAGAUACUGUGUUUUUACAAAUUGAAGACUUGUGGCAACCCUGCAUCAAGCAAGUCUAUCGGCGCCAUUUUUCCAACAGCGUUUGCUCUCUUUGUGUCUCUGUGUCACGUUUUGAUCAGAUGCCUACAGUCCUCACGUGAAGUGUGAAUCACAAUCAGCUGGAGAAUUUGUUAAAACGCAGAUUCCUGGACCUGCCUCCCAGGAUUCUGACUCAGUCGUCAUCUGCAUUUUUAACAAGCUCUUCAAAUCCCUGGAUAAAGGUGUUCCUGGCCCUCCCUUUGAGAAACCUUGAAGCUUGGGGAAUAUACAUGGUCCAGAUGUGGAGUCCACCCUCAGAACGCAGUCGAGGGAGGGAGAUGAGACACCACAAUAAGUCACAAGGUAGAAGGUACCCAGUGCAGCUGGAGAGCAUGAGAUAAAGUGCAAGGAAGCUCUCACCACCAUCUCCGACACCCAGGGGUGCUGAAGCUUGACCCUCUGUUCUGAGAAGUUUCCACACUUUUGCUGGAUUGUAUUCCAACCAACCUUGAAUUACAUAUUCAUAGUAUUACUUCUACCUCUAGCAGAAGAAUCAUUCCAGUGAUGUAGGAGCUUAUCUUUCAUUUUGGUGAAGGGUAGCAGGGAGGAAAACACUUACUGGUCUUGGAUAGAAACCAGAUUCGGGUGGCAAGACCUGGGUGCUCUUCCGAAGCUGGAUGGAGGUGACAUGCGGCCUGAAACAAAUACAGCCUCCAAUACCCCACCCUCUACUGCUUACCAACAGAGUCAAGAAAGGGGUCCUGAAGGCUCCUUUGAAGGAAGUUAGAGAUCUUGUGAGAAGCUGAGGCAAGACCAAGAGCUGGGACCUCCUCUCACAAUAUCUGAUUCAUCACCACCCACCGCCCCUCCUUGAGGGCCCAUGGCCUAAUAAAAGGGAGUUAGACCCAAG
This is a long non-coding RNA of Balaenoptera ricei (Rice's whale), 991 nucleotides long. RefSeq lists it as uncharacterized. The record is from RefSeq and is a predicted model, not a curated record. The transcript has 3 exons. Lineage: Eukaryota; Metazoa; Chordata; Mammalia; Artiodactyla; Balaenopteridae.